RNAcentral lists this ribosomal RNA (60 nucleotides) under uncultured bacterium. RNAcentral describes it as "partial 16S ribosomal RNA". The record is from RNAcentral.
GGAGGGUGAACGGCCACAUUGGGACUGAGACACGGCCCAAACUCCUACGGAAGGCAGCAG